CCCUGAACCAAGCCAUUUACAAAGAAGCAAAACUUGACAAAUUAUUUGUCCAUUAUUGGUCAACAUCACAAAUGUAUGUAUACAAAACUCAGUAACAAUAUCAUUCCAGUGUUGUUGCCUUUAAUGCCAUGGAUUCUCUUGUCAAAAAAGUGAAACAUCCACAAGGUUUGUCAGGCCCCUUUUUUUUAAUGUAUGAAGGCGUAUUAAUACCUGGAAGUUCAGUGGAUGCUAUGAGGGUCCCAGUAGUUCAAAUGCUGUCCGAAAAGCCUGAC
Non-coding RNA from Pelobates cultripes (western spadefoot toad), 272 nucleotides. The record is from the annotation of a GenBank genome assembly. NCBI's taxonomy places the organism in Eukaryota, Metazoa, Chordata, Amphibia, Anura, Pelobatidae.